Molecule: long non-coding RNA, 413 nt
Organism: Rana temporaria (common frog)
Lineage: Eukaryota; Metazoa; Chordata; Amphibia; Anura; Ranidae
Exons: 3
Source: RefSeq, a predicted model, not a curated record
AAUGUACAUAUUUUCUUGAUUUAACAGAUUUAAUUAAGAGCUUUUCUUCUGAAAACCUACAACACGUGUAAUUCGAUAAUUUGAUAGUCGGAUUACAGCGCUCAACAACACCAAUUCUAUUUCAUCAUCUAUCUACAACCUACGCCUUUGAUACAGAUCUCAACGACAAUUGGAUUUGAUUUUAUCAAAGCCAUGCAAAAACCAAACAUUUCAAGUAUUUGUUAUAAAUGUUUUCUUAUACUACGAAUUGUCCUUUAAUCCUUUUAUAUUAUUGUUGAGUAAAUGUUUUUUUUUAACCCACCUUUAAAAUACUUUUUCUUUACAUGUUUCUCUCUGUCUGUCCCUAUGUGGCUCUCUGUUUCCCUGUUGUCCGCUCUUUCUUUUUAUUUUUUCUCUCGUUAGGUUUAACAGAG